Molecule: ribosomal RNA, 229 nt
Filed under: uncultured bacterium
Lineage: Bacteria
Description: partial 16S ribosomal RNA
Rfam family: Bacterial small subunit ribosomal RNA
Source: RNAcentral
CGGGUGAGUAAUAUAUAGUUAAUGUGCCUCUUAGCCUGGGAUAGCCACUGGAAACGGUGAUUAAUACCGGAUACGCCUUCUACUUAUAAGAGUAGUCGGGAAAGGUUUUUCGCUAAGAGAUCGGACUAUAUUGUAUCAGCUAGUUGGUGAGGUAAGAGCUCACCAAGGCAAUGACACAUAGCGGGUUUGAGAGGAUGAUCCGCCACACUGGUACUGAGACACGGACCAG